This 2067-nucleotide long non-coding RNA is filed under the name Homo sapiens (human). RNAcentral's name for it is "HSALNT0385370". Lineage: Eukaryota; Metazoa; Chordata; Mammalia; Primates; Hominidae. The record is from RNAcentral.
GUCACUUCCCUUCCCGCGAUGGCGGCACAGGGAGCUGCUGCGGCGGUUGCGGCGGGGACUUCAGGGGUCGCGGGGGAGGGCGAGCCCGGGCCCGGGGAGAAUGCGGCCGCUGAGGGGACCGCCCCAUCCCCGGGCCGCGUCUCUCCGCCGACCCCGGCGCGCGGCGAGCCGGAAGUCACGGUGGAGAUCGGAGAAACGUACCUGUGCCGGCGACCGGAUAGCACCUGGCGUGAGGGCGGGGCCCAGGGCUGGGGGCGGGGCGGAGCUCAGGGCCAGGGGGUGGGGCGGGGCCUGAGGACAGGCUGUCAGUGAGGCCAAGAUCCGGGGGCUGGGAGUGGAGAGGAGGAGGGGCGGGGCUUGAGGAAAGAACGCCGCGUUCCGGGCGCUGAGAAACCAGCCGGGUUGUGGGAGGCUGUUGACCUUGAAUUAUGCCGAGCGACGCCUACAAACCCACCGCUCAGGCCUUCACCAGGAUUGUUCCCAUUCCACUUCCUUGCCCAGUCUUAGGCUUCAUUCCUUUUUCUUGCUAACGCUGCUUCCUCACCCUCUCUUGUCUCUGCGUCUUCUUUUUCCAUUUGUCCCUGGCAGCCAUCCGCAGAGAGAAGACCUUCCAGAAACAACAGGCUUCCCUUUCCUAAAGUUCUGCUGCCUUCUCUCAUUUUCAAAAUUAACCCCAAACUCCUUAGGGUGGCAUUCAUUUUUGUGACCUCUCCAGUUUCUAGCCAACACUAGGAAAGGGCAUUGCCAGGCCAGAACACACUGUGCCCUCUGAAGACCACACGCCCUUUACCACCUGUGCCCUUUGCUUGGAAUGCUUUUUCUUCCCUUUCUCCUUGUUUGCCUGCCUAGCUCCUACUCAUCCUCUUAGCUUCAUAUCCUUUGUGAUGUCAUCCUUGAUUCCCCUUCAGGCAAAGUGAGUGGUUCCCUUCUCUAUGUUCCUGCAACAUUUUUUUCCUACCUCAGUCAUAGUUUUUGUAACAUUAUGUUGUAAUUUUCUCUCUCUGUCUUCCUCCAUCAUACUGGGAACUUCUGGAGGGCAGCACUUCUUGUGAUUCAUCACUGUGUCCUCUGUACCCGGCAACAACACAGCAUAGGGCCAGACACGUAGUGGUUGCCUUACUCAUUUAUUGAAUGCUCUGCUAAUUGUCAGAUUCUGCUGAAGUGAUCCAGUCUCGAGUGAACGACCAGGAGGGCCGAGAGGAAUUCUAUGUACACUACGUGGGCUGUGAGUGGCUUGGCACAUCUGGGCGUGGGUGCAGGGAGUUGGCUGCCCUGGCAGCACUCUUAUGGCCCAUACUUACAGUUAACCGGCGGCUGGACGAGUGGGUAGACAAGAACCGGCUGGCGCUGACCAAGACAGUGAAGGAUGCUGUACAGAAGAACUCAGAGAAGUACCUGAGCGAGCUCGCAGAGCAGCCUGAGCGCAAGAUCACUCGCAACCAAAAGCGCAAGCAUGAUGAGAUCAACCAUGUGCAGAAGGUCCGGAUCCCUUCCCAUCCACGGGCCCAGGAGGCCCAGCUUCUCUGCCAGUUCCCUUGGGUCUCUCGGGCCCCAGUGCCAAAACCAUAGCAAAUCCCAUUUCUUAAGCUCCUGUAGUGUGUCAGGGACUUUACCUACUUCCUCUUACUUACUUUUCAUAGGUAAGAAAACAGACAGAGGGUAAGGGCUUCGCUGCAGUCUCACAGCAAGGAAAUGGCACAGCUGGGACUAGAACUCAGGCCUCCGGCACUGGUAGCCUCUUUUGUCUCCUAGUAGCUGUGUCUUAGUAGAAAAAAUGACUUGAAGUUCAGUGGGAAAGACGAGAAUGUUAUUCGGCAGUUGCUAUAGCCAAGCACCCUGCCAAGUGCUGUAUAUGUAUAAGCUCCUCAAAUCCUUCCCAACAAUUCAACACACAGGAAUAGUUACUUUUUUGGUAGGUGAGGAAGCAGGCUGAGAGAGAUUAAGUAACAUGCCCAAGGUCACACAGCCAGUAAAACGGUGGGCUGGAAUUAGAAUAAUAAUGCCAAACACUUGUUAGCCGGUGAGCAGAAGUAUUCAGCUAAAUGGUUUUUGUGUGUGUGUGUGUGU